ACAAUCGGAAGAAGAAGAGAACAAAAGCAGAAAUGAGGAAAAGCGCACCAGGAACCAUAGCCGCUGCAUGGAGCCUUCCAAAAGACCAAAAAGGAAGAAAUGAGCCGCAAAAUCACAGCGAAACAAUCAACUGUAGAUGAAGCUUCCGCGCUUUAUGUAGUUUAGAUUAGAUGAAGGAGCCAGAAAAAUCCCGAAACUAGCUUCAACCCUCUUAUCAGUCACGUAGUUCCGCACUCUACCUCUGCACCCAUUAUCCAUUUUCAAGCUGGUUCUAUUAUUCUGGUGGAUGCAAAAUUCCAUACAGCUCUGCCCUUUCGUCCAUUCUUCCAUUUUCAGUUGAUGUUUAUUUAACCAUCAUUUGCGUUGUUAAAUUUGCUGAAUCUUUUGUAUUUCUUUAUUCUCGGUUGCGUAUCGUGGGUUAAUUUUCGCCAUUACUUCCAGAUUUGUUUGUUUAGAGAGACGUAUUGUGAGAAUUAGGUUAGGGUUUCGAUCAGGGUUAGGGUUAGGGUUUAUUGUUGAAGCUCCAAUUUCUGUAUAACUUGAAGAGAUGGACUCAGAAGGUAGUGAGAUUAAGAGAACCCAAGAGGAGAGGAAGAAGAUGGAGCAAGACCUGGCUUCCCUCACGUCAGUUACGUUUGAUACCGACUUGUACAGCGCUGACCGUUUCGAGGGCUAUGAGAGGUCAAUUCCGGUGAAUGACGAUGACGACACAGCGGACGGUCCUGAUAACGAGAUAGCUCGGAAGCUGAAUUCUUAUACUGCUCCAAAAGAGUUUUUCAAGGAUGCUCCGAGGCCCGGGAAUGAGGAUGACCUCGGGUUUAAGCAGCCGAGCAGAAUUAUUGACCGGGAGGAUGAGUAUAGGAAGAGGAGGUUGAACCGGGUGAUAUCUCCGGAGAGGGUUGACCCUUUCCUGGAUAAAACCCCAGGGCCGGACAUGAGGUCGUAUGCUGAUGUCAUGAAGGAGGAGGCUUUGAAGAGGCAGAAGGAUGAUGUGCUGAAAGCAAUAGCGAAGAAGAAGGAGGAAGAAGCAGUUAAGCCAGUAAGCAAAGAGAAGGAAGCGGAGAAACCCAAGAAGAGAAAUCGGUGGGAUCAGUCGCAGGAUGACACUAGUGCAAAGAAAGCUAAGGGAGGUUCUGAUUGGGAUUUGCCGGAUUCAACUCCUGGAAUUGGGAGUGGUAGGUGGGAUGCGACUCCAACACCCGGGAGGAUUGGGGAUGCGACUCCUUCUGUGAGGAAGAAUAGGUGGGAUGAGACUCCAACCCCUGGGAGAUUGGCUGAUUCGGAUGUCACCCCUGCUGGGGGAGUUACUCCUGGUGCUACCCCUGCUGGGAUGACUUGGGAUGCAACUCCAAAGCUGGCUGGGCUAGCGACCCCUACACCUAAAAGGCAGAGAUCAAGGUGGGAUGAGACUCCUGCUACUAUGGGUAGCGCAACACCGAUGUCCAAUGCUACCCCUGCUGCGGCAGCAACCCCUGGUGUGACCCCCUUUGGAGGAGCUGAUCUUACUACGCCAACUCCAAGUGCUAUUAAUCUGCGGGGUGCAAUUACGCCAGAGCAGUAUAAUUUGCUGAGGUGGGAGAAGGAUAUUGAGGACAGGAAUCGUCCAUUGACCGAUGAAGAGUUGGAUGCUAUGUUUCCCCAGGAGGGCUACAAAAUUUUGGAGCCCCCAGCUUCCUAUGUCCCAAUUAGAACUCCUGCUAGGAAGCUUCUUGCCACCCCAACGCCGAUUGGCACACCUCUGUAUAAUAUCCCUGAAGAAAAUCGAGGUCAGCAGUUUGAUGUGCCGAAAGAGAUGCCUGGUGGACUGCCUUUCAUGAAGCCUGAAGACUAUCAAUAUUUUGGUGCACUGUUGAAUGAAGAAAACGAUGAGGAAUUGUCUAUGGAAGAGCAGAAAGAACGAAAGAUAAUGAAACUGCUGCUCAAGGUUAAGAAUGGCACGCCACCUCAGAGGAAAACAGCUCUGCGGCAGUUAACUGAUAAGGCCAGAGAGUUUGGUGCUGGGCCACUGUUCAAUCGGAUUCUUCCGUUGCUCAUGCAACCAACAUUGGAGGACCAAGAAAGACAUUUACUGGUGAAGGUCAUUGAUAGGGUGCUUUACAAAUUGGAUGAGUUGGUGCGUCCAUAUGUGCACAAAAUUCUUGUGGUGAUCGAGCCGUUGCUGAUUGAUGAGGAUUAUUAUGCCCGUGUAGAAGGUAGGGAAAUUAUCUCCAAUCUCAGCAAGGCUGCUGGGUUGGCAACUAUGAUUGCUGCAAUGCGCCCUGAUAUUGACAAUAUCGAUGAGUAUGUAAGAAACACUACUGCAAGAGCAUUCAGUGUUGUUGCCUCUGCACUUGGAAUUCCUGCUUUGUUACCUUUUCUGAAGGCAGUGUGUCAGAGUAAGAAGUCUUGGCAAGCCCGUCACACAGGUAUCAAAAUAGUUCAGCAGAUUGCUAUUUUGAUUGGUUGUGCUGUUCUUCCACACUUGAGGUCUCUUGUAGAAAUCAUAGAACAUGGUCUUAAUGAUGAGAAUCAGAAGGUUAGAACUAUCACAGCUCUUUCCCUUGCUGCUCUUGCUGAGGCAGCUGCCCCAUAUGGUAUUGAGAGCUUCGAUUCAGUGUUGAAGCCUCUCUGGAAGGGUAUUAGAUCUCACCGAGGGAAGGUUUUGGCAGCCUUUUUGAAAGCCAUCGGUUUCAUCAUCCCUCUCAUGGAUGCUAUAUAUGCUAGUUACUAUACCAAGGAAGUGAUGCAUAUACUGAUCCGUGAGUUUCAGUCGCCUGAUGAAGAAAUGAAGAAAAUUGUUUUAAAAGUUGUGAAGCAGUGUGUGAGCACUGAAGGUGUUGAGCCAGACUACAUCAGGAAUGACAUUCUCCCUGAGUUCUUCCGCAACUUCUGGGUGAGAAGAAUGGCUUUGGACCGCAGAAAUUACAGGCAACUUGUUGAUACUACUGUUGAGAUAGCAAACAAAGUUGGGGUUGCUGAUAUAGUGGGUAGGAUUGUUGAAGAUCUCAAGGAUGAGAGUGAGCCUUAUAGGAGGAUGGUCAUGGAGACAAUUGAAAAGGUGGUUGCAAAUCUGGGCGCGUCUGAUAUUGAUGCUCGCUUAGAAGAGCUGUUGAUUGAUGGGAUUCUCUACGCGUUCCAAGAGCAAACCAGUGAUGAUGCAAAUGUGAUGUUGAAUGGUUUUGGAGCUGUUGUUAAUGCUCUUGGGCAGAGAGUGAAGCCUUACCUUCCGCAAAUAUGUGGGACUAUUAAAUGGCGUUUAAAUAAUAAGAGUGCAAAGGUCAGACAACAAGCUGCAGAUCUUAUAUCAAGGAUUGCUGUGGUGAUGAAGCAGUGUGGAGAAGAACAACUCAUGGGCCAUCUUGGUGUCGUUUUGUACGAGUAUUUGGGGGAAGAGUACCCAGAAGUUCUGGGAUCAAUAUUGGGUGCUCUGAAAGCUAUUGUUAAUGUCAUUGGUAUGACUAAAAUGACUCCUCCAAUAAAGGAUUUACUUCCUCGCUUGACUCCAAUUUUGAAAAAUCGUCAUGAGAAAGUCCAGGAGAACUGCAUUGAUCUUGUUGGUCGAAUUGCUGACCGUGGAGCAGAAUUUGUUCCCGCCAGAGAAUGGAUGAGGAUUUGUUUUGAGCUUCUUGAGAUGCUGAAAGCCCACAAAAAGGGUAUUCGUCGAGCAACAGUCAACACUUUUGGGUAUAUUGCAAAAGCUAUUGGUCCACAAGACGUCCUUGCAACACUGUUGAAUAAUCUCAAAGUUCAGGAACGUCAGAACCGUGUCUGCACAACUGUCGCAAUUGCUAUAGUUGCUGAAACUUGUUCUCCCUUUACAGUUUUACCAGCGCUGAUGAAUGAAUAUCGUGUACCUGAGCUUAAUGUUCAGAAUGGUGUUCUGAAGUCCUUGUCUUUCCUCUUUGAGUAUAUUGGUGAAAUGGGUAAAGACUAUAUCUAUGCAGUUACUCCAUUGCUGGAGGAUGCUCUCAUGGAUAGAGACUUGGUCCACCGGCAAACUGCUGCUUCAGCAGUGAAGCACAUGGCUUUAGGAGUUGCUGGACUUGGGUGUGAGGAUGCUUUGAUUCAUUUAAUGAAUUAUGUCUGGCCAAAUAUUUUUGAGACAUCACCACAUGUUAUUAAUGCGGUUACGGAAGCCAUUGAAGGAAUGAGGGUGGCUCUUGGAGCAGCAAUCGUCCUUAAUUACUGUCUUCAGGGGCUAUUUCAUCCAGCAAGGAAAGUGAGAGAGGUGUACUGGAAAAUCUACAAUUCACUAUAUAUUGGUGCUCAGGAUGCCCUUGUGGCUGCUUAUCCGAUGCUGGAUGAUGAAGAAAACAAUGUUUACAGUAGGCCUGAGUUGGUGAUGUUUGUAUGAGGCUGGAUCGUGUUUUAGAUGAAGCUAGGGAAGGUCCAGUGGGUUAAAUAUGUAAGAGUGGCUAGCUGUUGCUUUUCGAGCUGCUGCUGGUUUUCUUUAUAUGCUCUAAUAAGAGUUGUCUUGCGUUCUUGUAAUUCUCUUGAAUUCAGGAGUUAGAUUUGAAAAAAAUGUUCGUUGGGACUUCAACUAUUAGAAUGCUUAAUCUGUUCUUGUGUGAUUCAAUGGUGCGAAUUUUCUUUUUACCUAGCAUAAA
Coffea arabica (coffee) is the source of this 4586-nucleotide non-coding RNA. NCBI's taxonomy places the organism in Eukaryota, Viridiplantae, Streptophyta, Magnoliopsida, Gentianales, Rubiaceae. The record is from RefSeq and is a predicted model, not a curated record.